Molecule: ribosomal RNA, 458 nt
Filed under: uncultured bacterium
Lineage: Bacteria
Description: partial 16S ribosomal RNA
Rfam family: Bacterial small subunit ribosomal RNA
Source: RNAcentral
CCUACGGGAGGCAGCAGUGAGGAAUAUUGGUCAAUGGGCGAGAGCCUGAACCAGCCAAGUCGCGUGAGGGAGUACUGCCCUAUGGGUUGUAAACCUCUUUUGUCGGGGAGCAAAAGCCGGACGUGUCCGGCUGUGAGAGUACCCGAAGAAAAAGCAUCGGCUAACUCCGUGCCAGCAGCCGCGGUAAUACGGAGGAUGCGAGCGUUAUCCGGAUUUAUUGGGUUUAAAGGGUGCGCAGGCGGAUUUUUAAGUCAGCGGUAAAAUCGUGGGGCUCAACCCCAUCCAGCCGUUGAAACUGGGGAUCUAGAGUGUGCGAGAGGUAUGCGGAAUGCGUGGUGUAGCGGUGAAAUGCAUAGAUAUCACGAAGAACCCCGAUGGCGAAGGCAGCAUACCGGUGCAAAACUGACGCUCAGGCACGAAAGCGUGGGUAUCGAACAGGAUUAGAUACCCUAGUAGUC